Molecule: ribosomal RNA, 458 nt
Filed under: uncultured bacterium
Lineage: Bacteria
Description: partial 16S ribosomal RNA
Rfam family: Bacterial small subunit ribosomal RNA
Source: RNAcentral
CCUACGGGAGGCAGCAGUGAGGAAUAUUGGUCAAUAGGCGAGAGUCUGAACCAGCCAAGUCGCGUGAGGGAGUACUGCCCUAUGGGUUGUAAACCUCUUUUGUCGGGGAGCAAAAGCCGGACGUGUCCGGCUGUGAGAGUACCCGAAGAAAAAGCAUCGGCUAACUCCGUGCCAGCAGCCGCGGUAAUAGGGAGGCUGCGAGCUUGAUCCGGAUUUAGUGGGUUAAAGGGGAGCGCAGGCGGAUUUUUUAUGCAGCGGUCAAAUCGUGGGGCUCAACCCCAUCCAGCCGUUGAAACUGGGGAUCUAGAGUGUGCGAGAGGUAUGCGGAAUGCGUGGUGUAGGGGUGAAAUGCAUAGAUAUCACGCAGAACCCCGAUUGCGAAGGCAGCAUACCGGUGCACAACUGACGCUCAGGCACGAAAGCGUGGGUAUCGAACAGGAUUAGAUACCCGGGUAGUC